This is a long non-coding RNA of Rosa chinensis, 3118 nucleotides long. RefSeq lists it as uncharacterized. NCBI's taxonomy places the organism in Eukaryota, Viridiplantae, Streptophyta, Magnoliopsida, Rosales, Rosaceae. The transcript is spliced from 2 exons. The record is from RefSeq and is a predicted model, not a curated record.
AUCCAGAAUCACUGUUACCUAACGUAAGAGUUCGGCUUAUCAAUCAUGCAAAAUCAUGCAAAAUCACCAACAGUAAGAGUUCGGCUUAUCAAUCAUGCAAAAUCACCAACAGUAAGAGUUCGGCUUAUCAAUCAUGCAAAAUCACCGUCUCUGUGAAAGUUCAAGGAGUGAGGUACAAAAGAGCACAGGACAAAUCAAUUUACGUUUGUUUUGGAGAAGGUACAUACCAAUAUUUUGAUUUAUAACAUUGAUUAGAACAACACAUGAAAUCAAAAGCUUUGCUUCAGUUCUAAUAUACUGAGAUGUGCAAAUCGUUUUGCCUGUUGUGCAAUUUAUUAUCAAAUCCUGGUUCCCCCUAUUUGACAUUAGAUUGUUGUUUGAGCUGCUACGAUUUUUCUGUACUCCUUUAAUUUUAUCGUCAGUCUUAAUUACAAUAUUGACUUCAUGUCUGUUAUUGGGUAAACUUCUUCAAUUUCCGCUGCAAAGUGAAUAAUUUAUAUAUUGUUAGUCAUUUGAUGAUAUUAAUAUCUAUUUUGCUUUGUGAGCUUAAUAAUGCUCCUGUUGCUCUCAGAGGAUUUCGAUUUAGCGGGCAUCAGGAAAACUAUCAGCAAGUUUUCUGAUUGAUUGAACCAAAGUAUAGAAAUAGGCAAUUGAUAAUACUGGUUUCCUUUUGAGGAUAACGGUUUAGUCCUUUUUCUGAUAAGCUUUGCACUGUUAUUGAGCAAAACAAAAACCUUUCUUCUUUCUUUCUUUUGUUAAUUAAAGAUCAUUUAAUUCAAUUAUUUGUAUGUAUAUGAAAUUUUGUUUCACUUUGUAGUGUUUCCUGUAGCUUUUGAAUAGCUCCAAGAACCAAACUUUUUUGGCACUCUAAACCAGAUAGAGGAAACUAAAACAAAUAAAAAAGAUCUGGUUUUUAAUCUGAUUCGUCUUUGUUAUAUCUAAAGUGGAAAUUGUAUAUAAUCUAUUUCUGACAUUUAAUAUAAAAUUUUAGCUUUUAGUGAUCAGGGGUUUUGUGAAUUACCGAGCAAUGGUUAUGUUAACGAUGUAUACAACUGUGCAAGAUAUCAAGGCCUUGGAGAAUGAUACUCAAAUGAAAGUUCAACUGUGCAGGUAUAUUUCAGUAAUAAACUUGGAAACAAAGUGGCUCAUCGUUUAGCCAAAGAAGGCAUACACAUUAGGGACUCAGCCUUUUAGAAGGAAAGUAACCUCCCUUUUGGUUGAAAAUCUUAUCAGAGAAGAUAUAUCCAGUUGGUGUAGAGAAGGAAUAACCUAUUUAAGCAUUUUGUUUUGAGUUUUGACUAAGAGCUGUCAGUUGUGCUUCAGUUUUCAUUCUAAUGAAAGCAAUUCCAUGCAUUUUGAUCAAAAGAAAAAAAAAAUGUGCCUUUUUUAAAAACAACAAAAGAAUGUGUGGUGAGUAAAAUGGUUCUGAAUUUUGUAUAUUACGUUUGUUUUGUUUACAAUUGUUGUUGCUGUUUCUUUUAACUUUAUUUUUCUUUAGCUAUUGAAAAUUUCAUUUGUUGUUUUUUCUGUAGUUGGAGCUCAAAAGUUACAUAUAUUCAAGAAAUUGUGGAGACCAGCUUUUUUAAACUCACAGACAUUUAUCACUAUAAUCUAUAUGUUACUGCAUUAUCAUAUUGAAUCUGGACAUUAAUAGUUUAUAGUGAUCAACACGACCAUUGAAUCUGGGUUUUCUUUCUUCUUAGAUCCUUCUUAGCUGUGUGAUGUGCAGUUUCUUUUUCAUUUUGGGGAUUCAUUUGGCUGUACUGUCUACAAUUGGAACAAAAUUUUCUUUUCAAUUUCAAUUCAAUUCUCUUUUCCUGACUUCAUUUCUUGGAAAUAUCAAUUCUAUUUUAUAUACUUCUUCUGCUUAAUGAGCAGCAACAUGGUUGACGAACAAUACAAAUCAUUAAGUGAAACACUUAGAAGUAAUAUGUCCUUUCAAAUUAAAGUUUUUUAAUGCUUUAAACCUUUUGAGUGCUCUUAAAUCAGAAGUUAAUUAAGACAGAAUCAUACUGGUAGCUUUUAAAGUAAUAUUUAUUGAUAAUGCACAAAUUAGUAACUAUACUUGGACAUGGGCAUAUUUCCUUCCUUUCCACUUGGACAUGCGGACAUGCAUGUCUUUCCUUUACUUUAAUCUCUUUUCUUUUUCUUUUUUGGAGGUUAACUGAUGAAAAGACAUGAUCCAUUCUGGAUAUGCACUGAUUAUGUUCCAUGAAUGAGAUGCAUUGUUAGAUACUGUGAUGUUUUGUUUUCUGUCAUUACAAAUCUGUACUCUGAGCUCACUCUCUUCUGUCAACUCCCAGGUCUUCAUCUCCUACUUCUUAACUGGAAGAGAGGUAGAAACCCUAUGAUAAGAAACCUGAUCUGAAGAUCCUUUUCACUUUAUCACUGUAUAUAUAGACUUACGGUUGUAGAUUAUUCAUCGCUUUAAUUAAUUAUCAACUACUUUAGUUUCCCAUGCAUCUCAUUAUAGGUGUUAAGUUUAAAUUAGAUUCUUUCCUACUUCAAUUAUGUUGCUUGAAGCCUUAAACAUGUUGCUGGAAGUCAUCAAUCGUCUCUCUUUAGGUGCAUGCAUGUUUUGAUUUCUGCUCAAAUGUACUGAACUGUAUUACAAAGUGUUCAGUUCAAUUAUGAGUUUUCUUUAUUCCACAUGGUGAUGUGAUUGCUAAUUGAGAAUUUAAUGCAUUUUUAAUGGUUUGAUACUUCAAUCUAAAUUUCAGGCUCAGAAAUCAUUGAUGUUGAACAGCAGCAGAGGAGCAAUGGUGACAGCUUUUUCGAUAUUGAAGAGCUCCUGCAGAUUGGGACCAGAUGCAGAGGGGUGUGGUUUCUGCUUUUCAAAGUAAAAGAAAAAAUAUAUUGGUUAUGUUGUGCAUCAAAAUUAUGAAUAUGAACUGCAAUACGAUAGGAAUUAACUGAAUUAUAUCCAACCAAGCAGCUUAAGAAGGUAAUAGUUACAAAUUUGCCAAUACACUUCCUUUUUGUUGUGUUAGUCAAUGUAUUGGUUUGUUCAGUAUUAUGGCUUGAGAGAGAUUUUGGACCGUGAGUUCCUGAAACAAAAGGCUACUUGAAUUUUGUACCAUUCCACAGGAUUUCGAUUUGAUAUUGUCUUUUUCACACU